This 3729-nucleotide long non-coding RNA is filed under the name Solanum tuberosum (potato). RNAcentral's name for it is "long non-coding RNA (STUB_LNC001475)". The record is from RNAcentral. Lineage: Eukaryota; Viridiplantae; Streptophyta; Magnoliopsida; Solanales; Solanaceae.
CCUUCUCUUGCUUAAUAGAUGCCCCAAGAUUUAAUGAGCACCUACCAAUCAAUAAACCUAGUGUAAUCACACAAGUAGAGUCUAGAGAGUGUGGUGAUGUUAGAGUGCAACAAUGAUAUUAGGAAGAACAAGUCUGAUAAUUAUGUUACUUUCAAGGAGAAGACAAUAAAUCCAAAGAAGUAUUAUGUAAAGCCCAACACUGGAAUUUUCAUACCUCAGUCUUCCAACGAUGUCAUAAUUACAAUGCAAUGGCAUAAAGAGGCACCACUAUACAUGCAAUUCAAGGAUAAAUUCCUGCUUCAAAGUGUUGUUGCAGGCCCUUGAACUACUGCAAAGUACAUUACUCCCGAGAUGUUCAAUAAGGAGCCGGGGAAUUAUGUGGAGGACUGCAAGUUGAAAGUUGUUUAUGUUCCUCCUCAAGUGCAAUUACAUGUAAAGGAGGGGUCUGAGGAAGGUUCUUCUCCUAGGGCUUUAGUAUUCAAAAUUAGAACUGUAAAUAUAUCGAAGCUCAAUAAUAUAUCAAGGUCAUAUAAUGAGUAUAAAGACAACUUGUUGAAGACAAAGGCACAAAUUUCAAAGCUAACAGGUGAGAAAUUUUUUGUUAUGCAACAAAAUGAAAAGCUUCAGCAAGAAUUGGAACUCUUGAGAUGGGAACAUAACAACAGUCGUGGUGGUAUCCCAUCUAUAUAUGUUCUCACUAUUGCAUUUCUGGAAAUCCUUUUGGUCUAUAUUCUAAAAACAUAUAUCUGUAGCCCAAAUACUGAUAGCAUGUGCAUAUAUUGUCCCCCUCCCCGAAAUCCAACAUACCACCAAAAACCUUUCCGUUUCCUCUUCAUAAUAACCAGCAAAGAAAAGUUCUUCUCCGUCUAUAUUGUUUUCAGUUUGGGGGAGAGCCGAGACAGACACAGGUAGCUGCAAUUAUGAUAAGCUAGAUAAUAAAAACAGACACAAUUCAAUGGUCGAAUGUUGUCCUUUUUUAUAUCUAUAUAAGGCUAUCCCUUUCUCUAAAUUCUCUAGUCUACCUGACUAUAUAUAACAUUCCAUAUCUGGAGUUCGAAAAAGAAGUCCAUGCAUUCUCUGCAUUAUCUUCAAUUUCUAUUUCCCAAGAUAAAAGGUCUAACACUUAAAAGCUGUUACAUUUCAUUUUUUCAAUCGUUAAAAAGUAAUUUUACUUAUGACUAGCAACAAGAGAAUGCUGGACGGUAUUUACAAGGAUAGCAUCAUCCUAUAUGACCUGUGAUAGAGAGAUUGUUUUCGUCCUAAACUUAAAGUAAGGUGUUUUAUGUUGUUUGUGUUAUGAUAUCACAAGAAAGAGUUUGUGAGAAUUAAAGAUCAAGGGCCUUCUUAAGAAAAGCAACAUCAGAGGCAUUUAUAGUUAUAUGGAAAGACUCAUGCUCUUUGAGUAAUUCUACAGAAAUCCUUACACAUUCUUGCUAUAUUCUCAAUGCUCCAGUUGUUUAAAAAUUUUUAGAACCUUGAGUCAAUUAGUUUUCUGGUUGACUUAAAUGUGUGCAAGUUAGUUUCAUUAGCUUUAUAAUGGUCUUGUGCUUGAAGUAAUCAUCAUAUGAACAGCUGGUUCGACAUCCUCUUUUUUUAAACUCGAGACGACAACAUUAGUUUAUUGAUCAAGUGUAUUUCCUCAUUUAUGAAUACAACCAAGUGUUGGAUAAUAUUGAUAAGUAAUUAUAGUAGAUUUAUUUUAUUGUCAUGAUGAAUUCAAAAAAUAGAAACACACUACUGGCACUCACUUGUCCCUUGGCAAUGUCUUCUUAACUUCUUGUCUUCCUCUGUUUCCUGAUAUCUUUUUCACUCAUUUAUCUGAUUUCCUGGUACUCCAAUAACUCUUUUGGAAGUUGUUCAGUUUCUUCCUCCUCACAUUCCUCUUUACCACACUCAUCCUCUUCUUGAUCUUCACCUUCCUCCUCAUAUUCAUCCAAAUAUUUAUACUCCUGAAUGAACACAACGAAAUUGUCAUAGCAAAAUAAAAGAUGAAAGAUCCGAAAAAAUUACAGAGAUCAUAGGUUACAUCUCUUUCAUAUUCGCGCAUAGUUGUUCUGGAGUAGGAAACCAAAUUCUCAAUGAUAAUCUUCAAUUGCUAAAGUGGAGAAGAGAACUAGUAAGCUUUGUGCCUACCAUUAAUUAUUUUAUACAUGAAAAAAUUACUUUACCACUCUAUAAAUGGACACUAGAUCCGUAUCUUCACUUAAUAAAAUUAAAACCAAGGAAAUGAAUUCGACCAAACCACACAAGAUUCCCCAAAAACCAAAAAAAUAGUUUCUUCUUAUAAGAGAUUUUAUUUGGUUAAAAUUUAUCAAAUAAGAUGUGAUCUCUACUUUAAAGGUUUUGCAAAUAUACACUAGUUAUUUUUAGAUAUCAAUCAUAAAUACGUAAACUAUCAAUAAACCAACUAUGAAACUAGUUAUUUUUUCCUACAAAUGUGUAUAUUUUAACCAUGAAGAAACAUGUAAUCUUAUACUCUUUCAUAGAACACAUGAACAUGUAAUUUUAACCUGGAAGAAACAUGAUUCUUGAACAAGGAACAUUAAUUAUCACCAUACGUAAUAAAGGAAGACAAUUUGAUAAUGUUACUGCUAAAUGCAAGUGUUCAUAAGCUUGCAAGAAAUAAAAACAUACACAAAGACAAGAAAAAGUAAAUAGCAAUAAGAAAGGCUAGAAAAUAAGAGUUCACUACUGUAGUUAAAACACUAGGUUAGAUCCUUAAAUUUCUAAAUAAUUCUUUUACCUCAUAUUGUGAUUUUCGAAUCUGUUUGUGUAUAUAAUCUCAUAUAUAACUUUUCUUUAACUUCUAUUGAUUAAAUAACAGUUUGUGGGCUAAUUUUAUUUCUAAAAUCAUAUCCUAGUGACCUCUAUUAAAACACAAUCAGAAUUGAAUAAACAAUCCUAAUUACCUCUGUUAGUUUUCAUUGUUUUUCCCAUUCAACAGUUUUUUUGUGGAGAACUGCAACUUUUUUGAGCAAGCUCCCACAAUAUUCUUGAUAAUGUUGAACCCCACCUCACUAAACUUAUAAAGCUCAAAUAAAUCACUUACCAAUAUGUAUAGAUAAUAAUGCUAUAACAUGUGGAGAACAUAUAAUAACACUAUAACUACUAAAGUGCCGAACAUUCAAUAACAACAUAAAUAAAAAAAUGAGUAGAGGAAAUCUUCUAUUGUUUAAUCCCUCUGAAACACUAAACAUGUGUACCCAUUUCAAUAUGAAUAUCAUGAUCUCAGAGAUAACCCUAACUCAUAAAAAAAUUCGUUUUUGAAGAAUAAAGAUCUUAAUAGCAAAGAUAACCCUAAUUCAGGAAUUCAUACCUUUAGAAAAUAAGAAACAUCAUCUAAAAUAAUUUUAAUAUGGAAUAUCACUUACUCCUCUUGAAAGAUCAACGAGUAACAAAACUAUGAGGCAAAAACACAAAAUAGAAAGAAAAAUUUGAAGUAGACAUAAACAAAAGAUCUAACCGAACAAAGAGAUUCGAAGAGAUCAAUGGUGUAUGUACAUAGCUCCAAAUUCGACCAUGAAAAUUCUAUGAGAAAGACCAGAAGUAGAAGGGGUGAUGCCGGCAUGAGGAAAUAGAGGUUUUUGGAGAACCUCGGAGGAGCGUUGUGUAUGUGGAAAACCUCAGAGGAGAGUUGUUGAAAUUGCUAUCUGAGAGGUGGUGUUAAUUUUAGGGGUUUUGAGACAUUGAUGUAGGUUUCACGCUUCAAGUUUAUCUUUAGCUUUUUUC